Parasteatoda tepidariorum (common house spider) is the source of this 194-nucleotide non-coding RNA. NCBI's taxonomy places the organism in Eukaryota, Metazoa, Arthropoda, Arachnida, Araneae, Theridiidae. The record is from RefSeq and is a predicted model, not a curated record.
AUUAGCAAAAGAAAAAGUAAUGUAUGAAAAAGAAGCUUUGAAAGAGAAAGAAAAGUUAGAAAAAAUGCAAGCUUCUGGAGAAGAUAGUUAUUUAAUAAGAAAACAGGAAGAAGUGAUGAAAGAAUCUCGGAUGAUGAUUCCAGAUACUAUAAAGCGUUAUCAAGUUGCUUAUCAAGAACUACAAGAAAUGUUGG